Molecule: ribosomal RNA, 359 nt
Filed under: uncultured Methanosaeta sp.
Lineage: Archaea; Methanobacteriati; Methanobacteriota; Methanomicrobia; Methanotrichales; Methanotrichaceae
Description: bacterial SSU rRNA
Rfam family: Archaeal small subunit ribosomal RNA
Source: RNAcentral
GAGGUGGUGCAGUGGCCGUCGUCAGUUCGUACUGUGAAGCAUCCUGUUAAAGUCAGGCAACGAGCGAGACCCACGUCCACAGUUGCCAGCAUACCCUCCGGGGGUGAUGGGUACACUGGUGGAGACCGCCGCUGCUAAAGCGGAGGAAGGAGUGGGCAACGGUAGGUCAGUAUGCCCCGAAUCUCCCGGGCUACACGCGGGCUACAAUGGUUGGUACAAUGGGCAUCUACCCCGAAAGGGGAAGGAAAUCUCUUAAAGCCAAUCGUAGUUCGGAUUGAGGGCUGCAACUCGCCCUCAUGAAGCUGGAAUCCGUAGUAAUCGCGUUUCAACAGAACGCGGUGAAUACGUCCCUGCUCCUU